This 700-nucleotide ribosomal RNA is filed under the name uncultured bacterium. RNAcentral describes it as "bacterial SSU rRNA". It matches the Rfam family "Bacterial small subunit ribosomal RNA", at positions 120 to 823 of the family's 1533-position model. The record is from RNAcentral.
GAGAACCUGCCGUAUACUGGGGGAUAACACUUAGAAAUAGGUGCUAAUACCGCAUAAGCGCACAGCUUCGCAUGAAGCAGUGUGGAAAACAAAAAGCUAAAGCUUUUGGUGGUAUACGAUGGAUCCGCGUCUGAUUAGCUAGUUGGCGGGGUAAAGGCCCACCAAGGCGACGAUCAGUAGCCGGCCUGAGAGGGUGGACGGCCACAUUGGGACUGAGACACGGCCCAAACUCCUACGGGAGGCAGCAGUGGGGGAUAUUGCACAAUGGGGGGAACCCUGAUGCAGCGACGCCGCGUGAGUGAAGAAGUAUCUCGGUAUGUAAAGCUCUAUCAGCAGGGAAGAAGCAAGACGGUACCUGACUAAGAAGCCCCGGCUAACUACGUGCCAGCAGCCGCGGUAAUACGUAGGGGGCGAGCGUUAUCCGGAUUUACUGGGUGUAAAGGGAGCGUAGACGGCAUGGCAAGUCUGGAGUGAAAGCCCGGGGCCCAACCCCGGGACUGCUCUGGAAACUGCCAUGCUAGAGUGCUGGAGAGGUAAGUGGAAUUCCUAGUGUAGCGGUGAAAUGCGUAGAUAUUAGGAGGAACACCAGUGGCGAAGGCGGCUUACUGGACAGUGACUGACGUUGAGGCUCGAAAGCGUGGGGAGCAAACAGGAUUAGAUACCCUGGUAGUCCACGCCGUAAACGAUGGAUACUAGGUGU